RNAcentral lists this ribosomal RNA (422 nucleotides) under uncultured bacterium. RNAcentral's name for it is "bacterial SSU rRNA". It matches the Rfam family "Bacterial small subunit ribosomal RNA", at positions 355 to 774 of the family's 1533-position model. The record is from RNAcentral.
UAAGGAAUAUUGGACAAUGGACGCAAGUCUGAUCCAGCCAUGCCGCGUGAAGGAUGAAUGCCCUCUGGGUUGUAAACUUCUUUUAUAGGGGAAGAAAGAUACUUUUUUUAAGGUAGUUGACGGUACCCUAUGAAUAAGCACCGGCUAACUCCGUGCCAGCAGCCGCGGUAAUACGGAGGGUGCAAGCGUUAUCCGGAUUUACUGGGUUUAAAGGGUGCGUAGGCGGGCAUGUAAGUCAGUGGUGAAAUACCGGAGCUUAACUUCGGAACUGCCAUUGAUACUAUAUGUCUUGAAUAUUGUGGAGAUAAGCGGAAUAUGUCAUGUAGCGGUGAAAUGCAUAGAUAUGACAUAGAACACCGAUUGCGGAGGCAGCUUGCUACGCAAAUAUUGACGCUGAGGCACGAAAGCGUGGGGAUCAAACA